UACAGAGGGUGCGAGCGUUAAUCGGAAUUACUGGGCGUAAAGCGUGCGUAGGUGGAUAUCUAAGUCGAAUGUGAAAGCCCCGGGCUUAACCUGGGAACUGCAUCCGAUACUGGAUAUCUAGAGUAUGGUAGAGGAAAGUGGAAUUCCCGGUGUAGCGGUGAAAUGCGUAGAUAUCGAGAGGAACACCUGCGGCGAAGGCGGGUUGCUGGGCUGACACUGACGCUGAAGUGCGAAAGCUAGGGGAGCGAACGGG
Molecule: ribosomal RNA, 253 nt
Filed under: uncultured bacterium
Lineage: Bacteria
Description: partial 16S ribosomal RNA
Rfam family: Bacterial small subunit ribosomal RNA
Source: RNAcentral